AUGUCCCGCCCGUCCCGCGCGCACCCGACGCGCCCGACGAACCCGACCACACACGCCGUGGCUUAUUCCAACACACACCCCCUAAGCCACGGCCUAGAGGAGUCCGUCGUCGUCGACGUUGGCACCGGCCAAGAGAGCCUGCUCCGCCGCCGGUCCUUUCCGCAGCUGCGGGCACUCGCGCCGGAAGUGCCCGUGCUCCCCGCACUUGUAGCAGCGCCUGCGCCUGUUGCCGCCGCUCCCCGACGCCACGCUGCGCCCGUCGUCGUCGUCCCGAGCACCGCCGUGUCGACGCUCCCGCGCUGCCCACUGCGCCGCCGUCAUGAGCAGCUGCUCACCCCCGCGCUCGCCACCGUCUUGUCCACGGCGCCGAACCCGCUCGUCGAACGCACGCAGCCGCCCGAGCGCUUCGUCGAACGCCAUCGUCGUCACGUCGUGGAACUGCUCGAUGCCGGCAACGACGGGGAAGAGGCGAUCCGGCACCGUAUCCAGCAACUUCUUAACAAGUGCUGUGUCGCCCAGCGUCUCCCCGAGGUUGGCAUACCUCGCCGCCAUCGCCGCGAGCCUCCCGCCGUACACAUCGAGCUCCUCGCCGUCCGCCAUCUUCAUCCGGUCGAAUUCGCCGCGCAGCGUCCCCAGCCUCGCCGCACGGACCCGAUCGGCGCCGACGAACCUCACCUUCAGGGAGUCCCAUACCUCCCUGGCGGUGAGCUUCGUCGACACCUGCAGCAGCACAUCCUCCGGCAACGCCCCGAGAAGCAACGCACGCGCCAUCUUGUCCUUCCGCGCGUUCACCGCCGCGUCGCCCGGCGCCACCGCCUCCCAUACGGUGUGGACGUCGAGGAUCGCCUGCGCCUUGAUGGCCCAGACCGUGUAGUUGUCCGCGGUCAGCAUCGGCAUCGCCAUCGUCGCCGAUCCGCCCGCGCCACCGCCGUGUGGGACGAGCGCCAUGGUCGCCGGUGA
This 960-nucleotide ribosomal RNA is filed under the name Triticum aestivum (bread wheat). RNAcentral describes it as "partial small subunit ribosomal RNA". Lineage: Eukaryota; Viridiplantae; Streptophyta; Magnoliopsida; Poales; Poaceae. The record is from RNAcentral.